UUUUUUUUAUUUAUUUAAUUUAAAUAAUAUACAUAAAUUUGCAAAUUGGAAUAUAUAGUUAUAUUACUUAUUAUAGAAUAUCAAAUGAAAAUAGUGAUUAGUAGUGAUUAGAAGAAACGUCUAAAAUAAACAAAAAUAAUAAAUAUUCAAAAAAAAUAUUCUUUUUUUAUUUAAAUAAUACGAAGGCUACUACCCUUCGGGAAGUGAUUGGUCUGUCAU
Molecule: long non-coding RNA, 219 nt
Filed under: Cucumis sativus (cucumber)
Lineage: Eukaryota; Viridiplantae; Streptophyta; Magnoliopsida; Cucurbitales; Cucurbitaceae
Description: long non-coding RNA (CSAT_LNC003019)
Source: RNAcentral